Molecule: ribosomal RNA, 468 nt
Filed under: uncultured bacterium
Lineage: Bacteria
Description: partial 16S ribosomal RNA
Rfam family: Bacterial small subunit ribosomal RNA
Source: RNAcentral
GACGAACGCUGGCGGCGUGCCUAACACAUGCAAGUCGAACGGAAAGGCCCUGCUUGCAGGGUGCUCGAGUGGCGAACGGGUGAGUAACACGUGGGUGAUCUGCCCCUUACUUUGGGAUAAGCCUGGGAAACUGGUCUAAUACUGGAUAGGACCAUGCUGUAGGUGGUGUGGUGGAAAGAUUAGUUUCGGUAAGGGAUGAGCUCGCGGCCUAUCAGCUUGUUGGUGGGGUAAUGGCCUACCAAGGCGUCGACGGGUAGCCGGCCUGAGAGGGUGGACGGCCACAUUGGGACUGAGAUACGGCCCAGACUCCUACGGGAGGCAGCAGUGGGGAAUAUUGCACAAUGGGCGCAAGCCUGAUGCAGCGACGCCGCGUGGGGGAUGACGGCCUUCGGGUUGUAAACUCCUUUCAGCCAUGACGAAGCCCUUGUGGUGACGGUAGUGGUAGAAGAAGCACCGGCUAACUACGUG